RNAcentral lists this ribosomal RNA (250 nucleotides) under uncultured bacterium. RNAcentral describes it as "partial 16S ribosomal RNA". It matches the Rfam family "Bacterial small subunit ribosomal RNA", at positions 355 to 622 of the family's 1533-position model. The record is from RNAcentral.
UGGGGAAUAUUGGACAAUGGGCGAAAGCCUGAUCCAGCAAUGCCGCGUGAGUGAUGAAGGCCCUAGGGUUGUAAAGCUCUUUUACCCGGGAUGAUAAUGACAGUACCGGGAGAAUAAGCUCCGGCUAACUCCGUGCCAGCAGCCGCGGUAAUACGGAGGGAGCUAGCGUUGUUCGGAAUUACUGGGCGUAAAGCGCACGUAGGCGGCUAUUCAAGUCAGGGGUGAAAUCCCGGGGCUCAACCUCGGAACU